CUUCUAUUUCUGUUCUUCACUGUGUCACAUUGUCUCUUCCCUCUCCGCGCCAUGAAAAUCAUGCUUGCACUCUGAUACUUCAUCUCUCUCUCUCGCUCUAGAAGCUUCCGAUUCAUGGCUACGUCUUCUCCUCUUCCCUUACCAGAACUCCACUUUCUUUCUCCACAAAUCACUCCCAAACGCCGUCUUUCACUCUCCAAACUUCCCUCCUCUGCUUCUUCCAUCUCCCGCCACGUCACCUCCAAUAUCAUUCUUCGCACCACGCCAAUCCGCGCCACCAGAGAAGAAUCCGUGUUGGCCGAGCGAGUGAACGACGUGGAAUGGAGCGGAAACGGAGUUGCUGCCGUUAGCGGAAAUGAUCGAGGCGGCACCGACGGCAAUGGCACGGUAGAAGGAUACGUUAACGGCGCCGCUAACGGAAGCUUGGUGAAGUACGGUUACGAAAGCGGAAAUGGAAAUGGUGUAGCUGCAGAGGUGUUGGAGGUUGAAGCCUUUAAGCUGAGAGAGGAUGGGAGGAAGAAAAGGUUGGAGGAGAUUGGAAAAGAAGAUGCGUGGUUUAAACAAACUGGGAAGGAACAGGUUGAGGUAGCAGUUGCACCUGGAGGUCGUUGGAGCAGGUUCAAGACUUACUCUACAAUCCAGAGGACCUUGGAAAUUUGGGGAUUUGUUGUGACAUUCAUUUUUAAGUCCUGGCUGAACAACCAGAAGUUCUCUUACAAAGGAGGAAUGACUGACGAAAAGAAAACCUUAAGGCAGAAGGCCCUUGCAAAGUGGCUGAAGGAAAGCAUUCUAAGAUUAGGUCCUACAUUCAUCAAAAUUGGCCAGCAAUUCUCCACCAGGGUGGACAUUCUUCCUCAAGAAUAUGUUGACCAGUUGUCUGAGCUUCAGGAUCAAGUUCCUCCAUUUCCUUCGGCAACUGCUAUAGCUAUUGUUGAAGAAGAGCUUGGAGCUCCUUUAGGUGAUAUCUUUGAUCAGUUUGACUAUGAACCCAUAGCUGCUGCAAGUCUUGGUCAGGUUCAUCGGGCAAGAUUAAAGGAACAGGAGGUUGUUGUUAAAGUACAAAGGCCCGGUCUCAAGGAUCUUUUUGAUAUUGAUCUUAAAAACUUGAGGGUUAUUGCUGAAUAUCUUCAAAAAAUUGAUCCAAAAUCUGAUGGUGCAAAGAGGGAUUGGGUUGCUAUUUAUGAUGAAUGUGCCUCUGUCUUAUAUCAGGAGAUUGAUUACACCAAGGAAGCUUCUAAUGCAGAAUUGUUUGCUAGUAAUUUUAAGAACAUGGAUUAUGUGAAAGUUCCUACAAUCUACUGGGAUUAUACCACGCCACAGAUUCUGACAAUGGAGUAUGUUCCAGGGAUUAAAAUAAACAAAAUACAAGCUUUAGAUCAGCUGGGUGUUGACCGCAAAAGGCUAGGGAGAUAUGCUGUUGAAUCAUAUUUGGAACAAAUUCUAUCACAUGGUUUCUUCCAUGCUGACCCUCAUCCUGGAAAUAUUGCUGUCGAUGAUGUCAAUGGUGGAAGAUUGAUCUUUUACGAUUUUGGAAUGAUGGGGAGUAUCAGUCCAAACAUCCGAGAAGGAUUGCUUGAAGCAUUUUAUGGAGUUUAUGAGAAAAAUCCAGAUAAGGUUCUUCAAUCAAUGAUUCAAAUGGGUGUUCUUGUCCCUACUGGAGAUAUGACUGCUGUUAGACGAACAGCGCAAUUCUUCCUUAACAGUUUUGAAGAACGCCUGGCUGCACAAAGGAGGGAAAAAGAGGAAGCAACAGCUGAACUUGGAUUCAAAAAACCAUUAAGCAAGGAGGAAAAAAUAAGGAAGAAGAAACAACGUCUGGCUGCUAUCGGUGAAGAUUUAUUAUCUAUUGCAGCAGAUCAGCCCUUCCGAUUUCCUGCUACAUUUACAUUUGUUGUUAGAGCCUUCUCAGUGUUGGAUGGCAUUGGAAAGGGCCUUGACCCUCGUUUUGACAUUACUGAGAUUGCCAAACCUUAUGCCUUGGAGUUGCUAAGAUUUCGUGAAGCAGGAGUUGAAGUUAUCCUAAAGGACUUCAGGGUGAGAUGGGAUAGGCAAUCAAAAGCAUUUUACAACUUAUUCAGACAGGCUGAUAGGGUUGACAAGCUUGCUGAAAUCAUCCAAAGAUUGGAGCAAGGUGAUCUAAAGCUCCGAGUUCGAACUUUGGAAUCUGAGAGGGCAUUCCAACGUGUUGCUGCAGUCCAGAAGACAAUAGGGAAUGUGCCCAUGCAUCCAGGUGUAUAUGUUCAUAUAUUGCAAUGGUUUAACCAUUGGAGGCCCACCUUUUAACAUACUUAUAAUCACAAUCGCAUUUUCUUUUUAAUUUCUUCUACAACUUUUAAAUGACUGAUGGAUGUGUAUGCAUAGUUGUCAACUCUGGACACAUUUCCAUGCUUUUAUGCACACAUCCAUUAUAAGCGACAUUGUUGAAACUUGGAAUUAUUGAGUUUUAGGUAAAGAGGGAGUGAUUAGAGAGAAAAAAGACUUCAAAUAAUAGUUGUUAUUCCUGUAGUGUGAGGUAUUACAAUAAUAUGUAUUGUAAUGGUAAAACCUAAAACAAUACAUAGAAUAAGGAAACAAAUCAUAGAAUAUCUAAUUUCGAGUAAUAAUUUCUGAGAUAGCCAGUAUUCUAAGAUUUAAUAUUUUCAUAUCAUGAGAUAUUCGAACACAAAUUUUUUUAAUCUUUGUUCAGUUAAUGAAUAAAUUAUUAUAGGAGAGACAUGGAAAACCUGCUGGGAUGAUACAAAUUCAUUUACCUUUUUGUCAAUUAACAGGCAGUAGCUGCGGGGAGCCUAAUAAAUCUAGCAACAGUUUUUUAUCUCAAUUCACUUCGUAUGCCUGCUAUUGUGGCAUACAUCUUCUGUGCAUUUUUUGGUUUUCAAGUGCUCUUGGGCAUUAUAAAGGUUAAGAAGCUAGAUGAACGGGAACGAUUGAUAACAGGAACUGCAUAAGCAGCUAGUAGAUUUAAGGUUGAUGUAUUGCACAUGUUAAGGUCAUGAUUACGAAUCACCUUCCAGAACAUGAGUAGAAUUAUGACUUCAAGAGCUGAUAAAAAGUAACACCCAACAUUUGGGAAGACCUUCAAGUACAAAAACUUUCAAUUAGCAAAUGGUGGAGGUUUUUUCUAUUCACCUGUUUGUUGGUAAAAAGAUUGAGCUCUGCAGUAGCCAAUAGGCUUAGCCACAUUUUUGUCAUUACCCCCGCCCCAAAAAUAAUUAAAAAUUAUAAGUCAUUGCGGCAUAGUAACUUAUACAGGAUGAUGCACGGUUUGUAUAUAUAUUCACAAUUACGUCCCACGCUUGUAUUUAACUAAAUUCUGUAAAAAAUCUAUCUAGUUUUUUCUAUUUAUCAUGAGUUGUACUUAC
RNA transcript from Abrus precatorius (Indian licorice), 3359 nucleotides. It is a transcript of the gene named protein ACTIVITY OF BC1 COMPLEX KINASE 8, chloroplastic, with no coding region annotated. NCBI's taxonomy places the organism in Eukaryota, Viridiplantae, Streptophyta, Magnoliopsida, Fabales, Fabaceae. The transcript is spliced from 21 exons. The record is from RefSeq and is a predicted model, not a curated record.